GACGAACGCUGGCGGCGUGCUUAACACAUGCAAGUCGAACGGAAAGGCCCUGCUUUUGUGUGGUGCUCGAGUUGCGAACGGGUGAGUAACACGUGAGUAACCUGCCCUUGACUGGGGGAUAACUGCAGGAAACUGGGGCUAAUACCGGAUAGGAGCUGCUGCUGCAUGGGGUUGGUUGGAAAGUUUCGGUGGUUGGGGAUGGACUCGGGGCUUAUCAGCUUGUGGGUGGGGUAGUGGCUUACCAAGGCUUUGACGGGUAGCCGGCCUGAGAGGGUGACCGGGCACAGUGGGACUGAGAUAGGGACCAGAGUGAUACGGGAGGCAGCAGUGGGGAAUAUUGCACAAUGGGCGGAAGCAUGAUGCAGCAACGUCGCGUGCGGGAUGACGGCCUUAGGGGUGGAAACAGCUUUAGCCUGUGACGAAGCGUGAGUGACGGUAACGGGUAAAGAAGCACCGGCUAACUACGUG
Molecule: ribosomal RNA, 468 nt
Filed under: uncultured bacterium
Lineage: Bacteria
Description: partial 16S ribosomal RNA
Rfam family: Bacterial small subunit ribosomal RNA
Source: RNAcentral